ACGCCUGCCCAGUGAACAAUUUAACGGCCGCGGUACCCUAACCGUGCAAAGGUAGCAUAAUAAUUUGUCUAUUAAUUGUAGACCUGCAUGAAAGGCAAAAUGAGGGCCCAACUGUCUCUUAUAGUAAAUCAAUUAAACUGAUCUCCCAGUCAAAAAGCUGGAAUAUUCCCAUAAGACCAGAAGACCCUGUGAAGCUUUAACUAAACUAUUAAAUCCCAUAAUAGCUCCUUUAGGUUGGGGCGACCUUGGAAAAAAAAAGAACUUCCAAACAAAAAGUUUUAUAUAACACCAAAAUAGGCUGACAGGCCUGCUACAGACCCAGUACCACUGACAACUGAACCAAGUUACUCCAGGGAUAACAGCGCUAUCUUCUUCAAGAGCCCAUAUCAAAAAGAAGGUUUACGACCUCGAUGUUGGAUCAGGACAUCCUAAUGGUGCAGCCGCUAUUAAGGGUUCGUUCGUUCAACGAUUAACAGUCCUACGUGAUCUGAGUUCAGACCGGA
RNAcentral lists this ribosomal RNA (503 nucleotides) under Dendroaspis jamesoni (Jameson's mamba). RNAcentral describes it as "partial 16S ribosomal RNA". It matches the Rfam family "Bacterial large subunit ribosomal RNA", at positions 1855 to 2620 of the family's 2925-position model. Lineage: Eukaryota; Metazoa; Chordata; Lepidosauria; Squamata; Elapidae. The record is from RNAcentral.